CCAAUAGCGUAUAUUAAAGUUGUUGCAGUUAAAAAGCUCGUAGUUGAAUUUCGGGAUUUGUCAGUUGGUCGGGCUUCACUGUCCGUAUUGACUUGAUGGAUUCUUACCUUCUGAAUAACCAGCAUGCUAUUAAGUUAGUGCGUUGGGGAAGCAGAUCUAUUACCUUGAAAAAAUUAGAGUGCUUAAAGCGAGCUAGUGCUUGAAUAGAUUAGCAUGGAAUAAUAAAAUAGGACGGCAUGGUUCUAUUUUGUUGGUUUCUAGGAUCACCGUAAUGAUUAAUAGGGAUAGUUGGGGGCAUUAGUAUUCAAUUGUCAGAGGUGAAAUUCUUGGAUUUAUUGAAGACUAACUUCUGCGAAAGCAUUUGCCAAGGAUGUUUUCAUUAAUCAAGAACGAAAGUUAGGGGAUCGAAGACGAUCAGAUACCGUCGUAGUCUUAACCAUAAACUAUGCCGACUAGGAAUCGGACGAUGUUAAUUUUAUAAUGACUCGUUCGGCACCUUAC
Molecule: ribosomal RNA, 501 nt
Filed under: uncultured Acaulospora
Lineage: Eukaryota; Fungi; Glomeromycota; Glomeromycetes; Diversisporales; Acaulosporaceae
Description: SSU rRNA
Rfam family: Eukaryotic small subunit ribosomal RNA
Source: RNAcentral